Molecule: long non-coding RNA, 1910 nt
Organism: Callithrix jacchus (white-tufted-ear marmoset)
Lineage: Eukaryota; Metazoa; Chordata; Mammalia; Primates; Cebidae
Source: Ensembl
AUUCAGUGAACAAUAGAGCAGUAAGCCAUCAGCCAUAGAAAAAGAAAUGUGUUCCUGUGGCUUAAAAAUUUUGUCAUUUUCCCACUAAUUUCCUUUUGUGUGUGUGUGAUGCAUUCAGCUGUCAGUGUUGUUGAGUUACUGACUUGAAUAUUGUUCAGUUAUCUCCUGUAGUAAUUUUUUACAUAAAAUAUAUCUGUGAAAAAGUUUCAAAGUUUUUACAUGUCUGAAAUGCAUUUAUUUUGUGCUCACAUGUUAUUAGCAGUUUAGUUAUGUGAAGAGUUCUAGGGUCAUGUCGAUUUCUCCCCCUUGGAACUUUGAAGACAUUGCUCCAUUGCUUUUCAACAUACACUAUUUUGAAUGAAAUAUGUGAUAGUAGUAUGACUAUUUGUUAUUUUCAUUUUCUCUUUGUAGAUGCUUCUAGAAUUUUCUCUGUAUCCUUGUUCUUAGAUUUUACUGGAAUGUGUCUAGGUCUUUUUCCUCAACAGAGGUCUGCUCCAAAUGGAAAGUUGGUUUUGGGCUUCGUGAAUCUGGUUAAGGCAUGUCAAUUGCCAAGCUUUGUUUCUGGCUUGGCAAGCAGAGAUGGCAGGUAGGUACCUCUGUUCUCUCAGGGUUUAAAUGAGAGAAAGUUUACUUUGGUCUGUAACAUUUAUGCUAAGAAAUAUUUUUAUUCCACUUAUUUAGAGCACAAUUAUUUUUGUUUUCACUUAUUCUUUCUUUUUUCAGCCCUUCUACAGAAAUUUUCUCUUUUAUUUCUCCUAUCCACACCAAGCCUUGAGUUUUCCUGGGAAUGUUGGCUCUCACAUCCCUGAGGAAAACACAUGGAUUAAGUAAACCUUCACAAAGUACAACAAAGGAGGUUACUUUGAUUUGAGGAGAACUGCUUGAACUUUGUAGCCUCCAAAUAUUUUUCAGAUUUUAGUAAUGUAAAUAGUGGAUGUUCACUUGGAAUAGCUGAUUGAAAAUCUCAAAAAAAAGUAAAAUUCCUCUUGAAGACUUACAGCUCCCUGGAUUUUUAAAUGGUUAGUUUGCAAACUCUAGGCACUGUAUUUUUCCAUCUGGAUGGGCUCAUAGAGUAACCAGUAGAUUAUUAGUAGUUUCUAAAAAGUAAUAGACUUCAUUCUAUGUCAGAGAUGUCAUAGACCCAUUAUUCAAUCCUUAUCAAGAUAUUCUCUAUGUCACCUGGUAAGUCCAUUGAUUAAUCUGUUCAGUUUUUAAAAAGUAUUCUUCUACCUUGCCCUUCAUUAUAAGUCCGUUGGUUAACCAGGCAUGUCUGCUGAAUGCUGUUACUUUCCUUCCAAACUGAUUUUAAAUGUGUGCUUCUUGGGCCAAUAUUCUACAUGAUGAACAUCUUGGCUUUAGGUUUUACUCAUUUAAUAUUGACAUUUUUCACCCAUGACUUUACAUCAUAACUUCGUGAAUAAAAGUACUUAACAUUUUUUGAUAUUUUAUUGGCCUUUGACCCAGAGGCAGUUCCCAAUUAUUAACCAAGUCAAAAGUAGACAAACUUUUUCUUAAAGGAGUGUAGAAUAAAUAUUUUAGUCUCAUUCUCAUAAGGUCUCUAUUGCAGACACUCAGAUCUUCCACUGGAACAUAAAAAAAGCGUGGCUAAAACAUAAACAAAUGGGUGUGGCUGUGUUUCAAAACAUAUUUAUUUAGGCGUCUGGCCUGUGGAUUGUAGGUUUUCAACUUCUAAGCUAAGCCAUAUAAAACCAAUAUAAAGAACUCAUUACUGAGAUUCACAAAGAAACUGCAUUCUAAAGCAUCCCCACAAAAUGAGAUAGUUGGUGCCUACUCCUGGUUUGCUAAUAGGCUCACUGAAAAUAUGCUGGUGGAUAAUAGGCAUAUAUUUUCUUCUUUGUUCUCCUGAUAUCAUAUGACUUAACACUGCUUCUGGAGUAAAUAGAUUCACA